This 492-nucleotide ribosomal RNA is filed under the name uncultured bacterium. RNAcentral's name for it is "partial 16S ribosomal RNA". It matches the Rfam family "Bacterial small subunit ribosomal RNA", at positions 29 to 507 of the family's 1533-position model. The record is from RNAcentral.
AGUGAACGCUGGCGGUAGGCCUAACACAUGCAAGUCGAACGGCAGCACAGUAAGAGCUUGCUCUUACGGGUGGCGAGUGGCGGACGGGUGAGGAAUACAUCGGAAUCUACUUUUUCGUGGGGGAUAACGUAGGGAAACUUACGCUAAUACCGCAUACGACCUACGGGUGAAAGCAGGGGAUCUUCGCACCUUGCGCGAUUGAAUGAGCCGAUGUCGGAUUAGCUAGUUGGCGGGGUAAAGGCCCACCAAGGCGACGAUCCGUAGCUGGUCUGAGAGGAUGAUCAGCCACACUGGAACUGAGACACGGUCCAGACUCCUACGGGAGGCAGCAGUGGGGAAUAUUGGACAAUGGGCGCAAGCCUGAUCCAGCCAUACCGCGUGGGUGAAGAAGGCCUUCGGGUUGUAAAGCCCUUCUGUUGGGAAAGAGAAGCAGCAGGUUAAUACCCCGCUGUUCUGACGGUACCCAAAGAAUAAGCACCGGCUAACUUCGUG